RNAcentral lists this long non-coding RNA (2058 nucleotides) under Calidris pugnax (ruff). RNAcentral describes it as "lncRNA (ENSCPUG00000019725.1)". Lineage: Eukaryota; Metazoa; Chordata; Aves; Charadriiformes; Scolopacidae. The record is from RNAcentral.
AUGAAUUGUUUUUAUAUCUUUUUUUUUUUUAAUUAUUAUUAUUAUUUGUUUGCUUUCCCUUCCCUUGUCCAGAUUUCCCAGCUGCAAAGCCCCGGGACCUACUCUCGCCAGUCUCAGGGGCGUUCCCUCUAUCCCAGUCCUUCCUCUUCCCAGUCUCGGGGCGUUCCCUCUAUCCCAAUCCCUCCUCUUCCCAGUUUUGGAGGGUUCCCUCUAUCCCAGUCCUUCUUCUUCCUGCUCUCGGAGGUCUUCUCACUCUCGGGGGGUUCCCUCUAUCCCAAUCCCUCCUCUUCCCAGUUUUGGAGGGUUCCCUCUAUCCCAAUCCUUCUCCCCAGUCUUGGGAGGUUCCCUCUAUCCCAGUCCCUCCUCUUCCUGCUCUCGGGGGGUUCCCUCUAUCCCAAUCCCUCUUCUUCCCAGUCUCGGAGGGUUCCCUCUAUUCCAAUCCUUCUUCUCCCCAGUCUCGGGGCAUUCCCUCUAUCCCAGUCCCUCCUCUUCCUGCUCUUGAGGGCUUCCCUCUAUCCCAAUCCCUCCUCUUCCCAGUUUUGGAGGGUUCCCUCUAUCCCAGUCCCUCCUCUUCCCAGUUUUGGAGGGUUCCCUCUAUCCCAGUCCCUCAUUUUCCCACUCUCGGGGGGUUCCCUCUAUCCCAAUCCCUCUUCUUCUCACUCUUGGGGGGUUCCCUCUAUCCCAAUCCUUCUUCUUCUCACUCUUGGGGGGUUCCCUCUAUCCCAUUCCCUCCUCUUCCCAGUCUUGGGGGGGUUCCCUCUAUCCCAGUCCCUCCUCUUCCCACUCUUGGGGGGUUCCCUCUAUCCCAAUCCCUCCUCUUCUGAGUCUUGGAGGGUUCCCUCUAUCCCAAUCCUUCUUCUCUCCAGUCUCGGGGCAUUCCCUCUAUCCCAAUCCCUCGUUUUCCCACUCUCUGGGGGUUCCCUCUAUCCCAAUCCCUCCUCUUCCCACUGUUGGGGGGUUCCCUCUAUCCCAGUCCUUCCUCUUCCCAGUUUUGGAGGGUUCCCUCUAUUCCAGUCCCUCCUCUUCCCAGUCUCGGAGGGUUCCCUCUAUCCCAGUCCCUCCUCUUCCCACUCUCAGGGGGGUUCCCUCUAUCCCAAUCCCUCUUCUUCCCAGUCUCAGAGGGUUCCCUCUAUCCCAGUCCUUCUUCUCCCCAGUCUCGGGGCAUUCCCUCUAUCCCAAUCCCUCUUCUUCUCACUCUCGGGGGGUUCCCUCUAUCCCAAUCCCUCCUCUUCCCAGUUUUGGAGGGUUCCCUCUAUCCCAAUCCUUCUUCUUCCUGCUCUCAGAGGGUUCCCUCUAUCCCAAUCCUUCUUCUCCCCAGUCUCGGGGCAUCCCCUCUAUCCCAAUCCCUCUUCUUCUCACUCUUGGGGGGUUCCCUCUAUCCCAAUCCUUCUUCUUCUCACUCUUGGGGGGUUCCCUCUAUCCCAUUCCCUCCUCUUCCCAGUCUUGGGGGGGUUCCCUCUAUCCCAGUCCCUCCUCUUCCCACUCUUGGGGGGUUCCCUCUAUCCCAAUCCCUCCUCUUCUGAGUCUUGGAGGGUUCCCUCUAUCCCAAUCCUUCUUCUCUCCAGUCUCGGGGCAUUCCCUCUAUCCCAAUCCCUCGUUUUCCCACUCUCUGGGGGUUCCCUCUAUCCCAAUCCCUCCUCUUCCCACUGUUGGGGGGUUCCCUCUAUCCCAGUCCUUCCUCUUCCCAGUUUUGGAGGGUUCCCUCUAUUCCAGUCCCUCCUCUUCCCAGUCUCGGAGGGUUCCCUCUAUCCCAGUCCCUCCUCUUCCCACUCUCAGGGGGGUUCCCUCUAUCCCAAUCCUUCUUCUUCUCACUCUUGGGGGGUUCCCUCUAUCCCAUUCCCUCCUCUUCCCAGUCUUGGGGGGGUUCCCUCUAUCCCAGUCCCUCCUCUUCCCACUCUUGGGGGGUUCCCUCUAUCCCAAUCCCUCUUCUUCCCAGUCUCGGAGGGUUCCCUCUAUCCCAGUCCCUCCUCUUGCCUGUUUUGGAAGGUUCCCUCUAUUCCAAUCCUUCUUCUUCCUGCUCUCGGGGGGUUCCCUCUAUCCCAAUCCCUCCUCUUCUGA